RNAcentral lists this ribosomal RNA (253 nucleotides) under uncultured bacterium. RNAcentral describes it as "partial 16S ribosomal RNA". It matches the Rfam family "Bacterial small subunit ribosomal RNA", at positions 524 to 776 of the family's 1533-position model. The record is from RNAcentral.
UACGUAUGGUGCAAGCGUUAUCCGGAUUUACUGGGUGUAAAGGGAGCGCAGGCGGCACGGCAAGCCUGAUGUGAAAGCCCGCGGCCCAACCGCGGGACUGCAUUGGGAACUACCGGGCUGGAGUGCCGGAGAGGUAGGCGGAAUUCCAAGUGUAGCGGUGAAAUGCGUAGAUAUUAGGAGGAACACCAGUGGCGAAGGCGGCCUACUGGACGGUGACUGACGCUGAGGCUCGAAAGCGUGGGGAGCAAACAGG